This 74-nucleotide transfer RNA is filed under the name Xenicus gilviventris (South Island wren). RNAcentral's name for it is "tRNA-Ser". It matches the Rfam family "tRNA". From Rfam's summary of the family: Transfer RNA (tRNA) molecules are approximately 80 nucleotides in length. The record is from RNAcentral. Lineage: Eukaryota; Metazoa; Chordata; Aves; Passeriformes; Acanthisittidae.
AAGAAAGAAGCAUAGUGGGUUUAAUGCGGUUGGCUUGAAACCAUCAUUUGAGGGUUCGAUUCCUUCCUUUCUUG